RNAcentral lists this ribosomal RNA (468 nucleotides) under uncultured bacterium. RNAcentral's name for it is "partial 16S ribosomal RNA". It matches the Rfam family "Bacterial small subunit ribosomal RNA", at positions 28 to 507 of the family's 1533-position model. The record is from RNAcentral.
GACGAACGCUGGCGGCGUGCUUAACACAUGCAAGUCGAACGGAAAGGCCAUGCUCUUGUUGGGUUCUCGAGUGGCGAACGGGUGAGUAAAACGCGAGUAACCUGCACUUGACUUUGGGAUAACAUCACGAAACUGGGGAUAAUAUCGGAUAGGAUCUACUGAUGCAUGGGGGGGGUUGGAAAGUGUCGGCGGUGGGGGAUGGACUCGCGGCUUAUCAGCUUGUUGGUGGGGUAGUGGCGUACCAAGGCUUUGACGGGUAGCCGGCCUGAGAGGGUGACCGGCCACAUUGGGACUGAGAUACGGCCCAGACUCCUACGGGAGGCAGCAGUGGGGAGUAUUGCACAAUGGGCGGACGCCUGAUGCAGCAACGCCGCGUGCGGGAUGACGGCCUUCGGGUUGUAAACCGCUUUCGCCUGUGACGAAGCGUGAGUGACGGUAAUGGGUAAAGAAGCACCGGCUAACUACGUG